RNAcentral lists this ribosomal RNA (505 nucleotides) under uncultured bacterium. RNAcentral's name for it is "partial 16S ribosomal RNA". It matches the Rfam family "Bacterial small subunit ribosomal RNA", at positions 28 to 507 of the family's 1533-position model. The record is from RNAcentral.
GACGAACGCUGGCGGCGUGCCUAAUACAUGCAAGUAGAGCGCACAGUUUAUACCGUAGCUUGCUACACCAUAGACUGUGAGUUGCGAACGGGUGAGUAACGCGUAGGUAACCUGCCUGGUAGCGGGGGAUAACUAUUGGAAACGAUAGCUAAUACCGCAUAAUAUUAAUUAUUGCAUGAUAAUUAAUUGAAAGGUGCAAUUGCACCACUACCAGAUGGACCUGCGUUGUAUUAGCUAGUAGGUGAGGUAACGGCUCACCUAGGCGACGAUACAUAGCCGACCUGAGAGGGUGAUCGGCCACACUGGGACUGAGACACGGCCCAGACUCCUACGGGAGGCAGCAGUAGGGAAUCUUCGGCAAUGGACGAAAGUCUGACCGAGCAACGCCGCGUGAGUGAAGAAGGUUUUCGGAUCGUAAAGCUCUGUUGUAAGAGAAGAACGGGUGUGAGAGUGGAAAGUUCACACUGUGAGGGUAUCUUACCAGAAAGGGACGGCUAACUACGUG